Molecule: ribosomal RNA, 372 nt
Filed under: uncultured bacterium
Lineage: Bacteria
Description: bacterial SSU rRNA
Rfam family: Bacterial small subunit ribosomal RNA
Source: RNAcentral
UACGGAGGAUGCGAGCGUUAUCCGGAUUUAUUAGGUUUAAAGGGUGUGUAGGCGGAAGAUUAAGUCAGUGGUGAAAUCUCACAGCUCAACUGUGAAACUGCCAUAGAUACUGGUUUUCUUGAGUACAGUUGAAGUAGGCGGAAUGUGUAAUGUAGCGGUGAAAUGCUUAGAUAUUACACAGAACACCGAUUGCGAAGGCAGCUUGCUAAGCUGUUACUGACGCUGAUGCACGAAAGCGUGGGGAGCGAACAGGAUUAGAUACCCUGGUAGUCCACGCCGUAAACGAUGAUUACUCGUUGUUGGCGAUAUAUUGUCAGCGACUGAGCGAAAGCAUUAAGUAAUCCACCUGGGGAGUACGGCGGCAACGCUGAA